ACCAGCGGCGAUAGCACCUUGAAAGCACCAGUUCCGCAUGGAUCACUGAAGUUGAGCACGGUUGCGCGUGGUUACUACCCGGAUGGGUGACCAUCUAGCCAAUAGCGUGCUGCUAGUU
RNAcentral lists this ribosomal RNA (118 nucleotides) under Diaphorina citri (Asian citrus psyllid). Lineage: Eukaryota; Metazoa; Arthropoda; Insecta; Hemiptera; Psyllidae. The record is from RNAcentral.